Molecule: ribosomal RNA, 460 nt
Filed under: uncultured bacterium
Lineage: Bacteria
Description: partial 16S ribosomal RNA
Rfam family: Bacterial small subunit ribosomal RNA
Source: RNAcentral
CCUACGGGAGGCAGCAGUGAGGAAUAUUUUUCAAUUUACUCUCUUCUUCCCCCUCCCCUUCUCUUUCCUUAUUCCUUCCCUCUUUUUUUUCCCCUUCUUUUAUAUGGGAAUAAAAUGUUCCACGUGUGGGAUUUUGUAUGUACCAUAUGAAUAAGGAUCGGCUAACUCCGUGCCAGCAGCCGCGGUAAUACGGAGGAUCCGAGCGUUAUCCGGAUUUAUUGGGUUUAAAGGGAGCGUAGGUGGAUUGUUAAGUCAGUUGUGAAAGUUUGCGGCUCAACCGUAAAAUUGCAGUUGAAACUGGCAGUCUUGAGUACAGUAGAGGUGGGCGGAAUUCGUGGUGUAGCGGUGAAAUGCUUAGAUAUCACGAAGAACUCCGAUUGCGAAGGCAGCUCACUGGACUGCAACUGACACUGAGGCUCGAAAGUGUGGGUAUCAAACAGGAUUAGAUACCCUAGUAGUC